Molecule: long non-coding RNA, 3061 nt
Organism: Cavia porcellus (domestic guinea pig)
Lineage: Eukaryota; Metazoa; Chordata; Mammalia; Rodentia; Caviidae
Exons: 2
Source: RefSeq, a predicted model, not a curated record
AUCAGGGGUCACAGGGGCGGGGCCUUCAUGUGUCAGCUCUGGGUGCUGGGGCCGGCACCGGAAGCCCGCCCACCGGAUGUGCGUCAUCACUGAGCGGGGCCUUCGGAGCGUCUAGGUCUCAGACUGGAAAUGCGUCUACCUGGGAGUCCCUGAGCUACCUUACUGCAGGCUACAUUCAAAGAAUCCCCAGAGACUCUCAAGCCACAAAAUGAAGACAGUGACCUUUGAGGAUCUAGUUGUGAACUUCACCCCAGCAGAAUGGGACAUAAUGAAUCCAUCCCAAAGGAAGCUCUACAGAGGUAUGAUGUGGAAAAGAUUUAGGAAUAUUAGUGCUAUAGAAAGAACUUGAGAUAACCAGCAAAUUGAAGAAGAGGGCAAAAAUUGCUCAGAAAUCUAAGAUAUAUGCAGUGAAUUAGUUGAAAUUUGAAGAGAAGCAGUGUAAAAGUAAUGAACAUGGGAAACCCUGAAAUGAUUUGCAGUCCCUUUAGAAACAUGAAAUGAGGAAGACUGGAGAGAAACCCUAUCAACAGGAACAGUGAGGAAGGCAACUCUGAGCUUAGUGAAUGAACUCACACUGGGCACAAAACCUUUGUAGGUAAAAAAAAGUGUGUGUGAAAGACUUCACAACAUGUAGUGGUCAAAUCCACACAGUUUAGGGAAUUCAUAUGUACACAAACACUUUGAGUUUUAUUUCUUCAUACCAUAUUGAAAAAUAUGAUAGAAGACUUGCCACUUGUGACUAAGAAAUGUGUAAAAGCAUUAGCUCUUAGUAAUUCCUUUCAAAAACAACAACAACAAAAUUCACACUGAGGAGACUGUAUGUGAGCUUUGCAGGAAAGCAUUCAGUACAUAGUGUCAAAGUCAUGAAAAGAUUCACACUGGGGAGAAACCCUACGUGUACCAGAAAUGUAGUGAAGCAUUCAGUCCAGAGACAUGUUACAAAAUUCAUGAUAAAACUCAUUGUGGGCAAACUAUAUGUAUGUAAGCAGUGUGGGAAAGCAUUCAGCAGACGCAGUCACUGUCAACGUCAUAAAAAACUCACACUGGGGAGAAACCUUGUGGAUGUGAACAAUGUAGGAAAUCUUCCCAGCUCUGGUUUUCUCAAAAAUGAGUUCAUACUGGGAUGUAACCCUAUGCAUUUUAACAAUAGGGAAAAAGCUUUCAGUGCAUAAAAAUGCAAUAAAAUAUUGGAAAGAGUACAUACAAGGGUAAAAACCUAUGUAUGGACACAGUGGGAAAUUAGCUGCCCACCUAUCAGCAACUGCAGCAGUCUUUUUUAAAAAACAUCAUCAGGAGUGUGGCAAUGGGUUAACACUGCAGCCACAUACUUUCAAGUCAGAAUAACAUUUCCACUCAGAUUAAUGAAUUCAACCCUAAAUUUACCAGGCUCCUCAGAAAAACCACCAAACCUUUCUUUACACUGAGCCAUGUUUAUCGUUGAGAGAGGGAUGUAUACUGGUAAUGCUUCCAUCCCAAUCUGACACUUCCUGUAGUGAAAAAAGAUUUCCUAGGGUAAAGUGGGGUGCUAGCUUUUUUACUCAUUUCAAUCUUGAUGGGAUUGAUGGGGCAGGUGAUGAUAAGGACAGAGGCAAGAGGCCUCUGCCUUGAGUGAGGAGGAUGAACCUGUAGGAUUUAGAAACUGUAGCCACACAAAUAUAUUUGUAGAGAUCUGGACGUAAGGGAUAUCUCACCACUUCCCUUUUACAGUACAGAUCUAGCAGGAGAGUGAUAUAAUUCAGAUACUCAUUCUUUGACUAGUAUUCUCAGUUUGCCAAUUUGUACUGAGGUUAAACUGUUAGAAAAAUUCAACCUCCCUACUGUGUACUGAGGCCUAUCUGCUGCAGCACAGCCCUGUGAAAAUAAAGACUUGUUUUGGUGUUCCUAUAAACCUGCUUGUGAUUUACUUCUUGGCUCCAAAAGAUGUGUGCAUUUACUUGGGAUUUUUAUCAUGAGUAGUGUGGACAGAGUAGUCAUUUCCAAAGAAAGACUAAUAAACACUCAGAGCUGCUAAUACCAGCACCAAAGAGCUCCAUAGACCAACGCCAAAUGAAGGCAAAGAAGUGAGGACAAGCACCUAGUUUUGGAAACUUGAUUCGUAAUGGGUUUGUCCCCCUAAUUUAAGGAGUUUAAUCCUCAAAAGUGUAUGUUAAUGGUAUUAACUGGAAUGGUAUUAAGUGGAUUGAAACUUAAUCCAAUUUAAGUAUUUAAGGGUGAGGCCCUAGAACAUGAUUAGGAUUGAAUGAGGUUGGCUAAGGUCAUUAGAGUAUAACCGUCAUGAUUGAAUUCUGGUAGCUUUAUAAGAAGAAAGACAGGCUGAGAUAUAGUUCAGUGGUAGAGCAUUUGCUUACUAUGUGUGAGGCCCUGGAUUCAAUCUCCAGCACCAAAAAAUAAAUAAUAAAGAACAGAGACCUAAUAUAUAAACACAUGUAUCCCUGCCUCUUGCCCCGUGAUGCCAUGUUAGGUAUCUUGGGACUCUCCCAGCAAGAGAGCCAUAACCAGAGUUGAGCCUGCAAAACUAAAUAUGUGACACUUACAAUUUGAAAGAAGAGAGAUCUAUUUUGGAUCCUGUUUUUAGGCUAUAGACUGCUAGCUCCAAGGCACAAUGGCAUGGUGGAAGGGCACAGUGAAGGAAAAGCUACUCACACCAUGAUGAUCAAGAAAUAGCACCAAAGGGGCUGGAGAAGAAUAUACACUCUUCCAGGUCACACCCAGGGACGUGCCUUCCCCAAGCAGGCCCUGCCUCCUAACAGCAGGUUAGCCAAAACCCCUCGAAGACAGGCACACACAAAGACUUCAGAGGAAACACCAAUCACACAAGAAAUAAAACCAAGAAUCAACAAAUGGGGUCAUACCAAAUUAAAAAGCUUCUGUAUAGCAAGGAAAACAACAGAGUGAAGAGACAACCUGCAGAAUGGAAAAUUUUUUCACAGCUAUUCCUUGGACAACAGAUUAAUACAUAGAAUAUAUAAAGAACUCAGAAUUAGACCUCCCAAAAUAGACUCAGUCAAAAAUGGGCAACUGAAAUGAGUAGGUACUUCUCAGAAGAAUAAAAUACAUAAAA